RNAcentral lists this ribosomal RNA (274 nucleotides) under uncultured bacterium. RNAcentral describes it as "partial 16S ribosomal RNA". It matches the Rfam family "Bacterial small subunit ribosomal RNA", at positions 523 to 796 of the family's 1533-position model. The record is from RNAcentral.
AUACGGAGGGUGCAAGCGUUAUCCGGAAUCAUUGGGUUUAAAGGGUCCGCAGGCGGAUUAAUAAGUCAGUGGUGAAAUCCUCUCGCUCAACGAGAGAACUGCCAUUGAAACUGUUAGUCUUGAAUUCGGUCGAAGUAGGCGGAAUGUGUCAUGUAGCGGUGAAAUGCAUAGAUAUGACACAGAACACCGAUAGCGAAGGCAGCUUACUAGACCUGGGUUGACGCUCAUGGACGAAAGCGUGGGGAGCGAACAGGAUUAGAUACCCUAGUAGUCC